Molecule: ribosomal RNA, 254 nt
Filed under: uncultured bacterium
Lineage: Bacteria
Description: partial 16S ribosomal RNA
Rfam family: Bacterial small subunit ribosomal RNA
Source: RNAcentral
UACGAAGGGGGCUAGCGUUGUUCGGAAUUACUGGGCGUAAAGCGCGCGUAGGCGGUUUUGCAAGACAGAGGUGAAAUGCCUGAGCUCAACUUAGGAAUUGCCUUUGGGACUGCGAGGCUUUGAGGACUGGAGAGGUGAGUGGAAUUCCCAGUGUAGAGGUGAAAUUCGUAGAUAUUCGCAAGAACACCAGUGGCGAAGGCGGCUCACUGGCCCGAUACUGACGCUGAGGCACGAAAGCGUGGGGAGCAAACAGG